RNAcentral lists this ribosomal RNA (497 nucleotides) under uncultured bacterium. RNAcentral describes it as "partial 16S ribosomal RNA". It matches the Rfam family "Bacterial small subunit ribosomal RNA", at positions 28 to 507 of the family's 1533-position model. The record is from RNAcentral.
GAUGAACGCUGGCGGCGUGCCUAAUACAUGCAAGUCGAGCGAACAGACGAGGAGCUUGCUCCUCUUACGUUAGCGGCGGACGGGUGAGUAACACGUGGAUAACCUACCUAUAAGACUGGGAUCACUUCGGGAAACCGGAUCUAAUACCGGAUAAUAUAUUGAACCGCAUGGUUCAAUAGUGAAAGACGGUUUUGCUGUCCCUUAUAGAUGGUUCCGCGCCGCAUUAGCUAGUUGGUAAGGUAACGGCUUACCAAGGCGACGAUGCGUAGCCGACCUGAGAGGGUGAUCGGCCACACUGGAACUGAGACACGGUCCAGACUCCUACGGGAGGCAGCAGUAGGGAAUCUUCCGCAAUGGGCGAAAGCCUGACGGAGCAACGCCGCGUGAGUGAUGAAGGUCUUCGGAUCGUAAAACUCUGUUAUUAGGGAAGAACAAAUGUGUAAGUAACUAUGCACGUCUUGACGGUACCUAAUCAGAAAGCCACGGCUAACUACGUG